CCACCCUCCGCUCAAACUUUCCUUAUUAUUCACCUGCUGAGGAAACCAGGAAUCUCAUGUGCCUGAGCAGAGAGUGCUGAGCAGUGUCCUGUGUGAUCGGGACUCUGAAACCUAGAAGAAUGCACAUCCGCACCCAGACUGUGGGGUUACUACUGAUCUCGGGUAUCCGAUACAGCCUGAGGCUCCAAGGCAAGACAGGCAAGACAGCCUGCAAUGUCUUCCACGUCCAGCGGGGAGUGAGAGCCCUGCUCUGCUUAUGGGGUGUUAUGAUUUGAAUAUUCAUCAUCCCUGUUUCAUGCUGAAAGGAUUUGGAAGUGGGACCUUGGCAAGAGAUGUAGAACUACCUCCACAGCACCAUGUCUGCCUGCCUGCCACCAUGCUUCCUGUCAUGCUGAUAAUGAACUGUAAACAAGCCUCAAUUAAGUGUUUUCCUUCA
This is a non-coding RNA of Rattus norvegicus (Norway rat), 436 nucleotides long. The record is from RefSeq and is a predicted model, not a curated record. NCBI's taxonomy places the organism in Eukaryota, Metazoa, Chordata, Mammalia, Rodentia, Muridae.